UCAGGAGUAAUCUUUUGAUGAUGCAGCCUCCUCCUUCUCUUGACAAUGUUUAUAAUAUGGUCUUCAAUGAUUAGAAGCAAAGACAAGUUCAGUCUUCCUCUCACUUUGAUCCAGCCUCUGUCUUUUUCAAUGUACGUACACACAGACAGCCUAUUGGAUUUAACAAGGCCACAGUGUCUGUUCCUCCUCUUCCUUUUAGACAGAGAGUCAAUUUUGACCAAAAGAGAGUCAAUUUUGACCAAGCCAGGGGACCUUUAUUUUGUAGAUACUGUAAAAAAUC
RNAcentral lists this long non-coding RNA (280 nucleotides) under Nicotiana benthamiana. RNAcentral describes it as "long non-coding RNA (NBEN_LNC001632)". The record is from RNAcentral. Lineage: Eukaryota; Viridiplantae; Streptophyta; Magnoliopsida; Solanales; Solanaceae.